This is a long non-coding RNA of Carassius carassius (crucian carp), 325 nucleotides long. RefSeq lists it as uncharacterized. Lineage: Eukaryota; Metazoa; Chordata; Actinopteri; Cypriniformes; Cyprinidae. The record is from RefSeq and is a predicted model, not a curated record. The transcript has 3 exons.
UCUGGUGCCCACAUGUUGUUGGUCUAACUCUGAUGCAGCUUUGAACACAUCAGACUCUUUAAGUGUAAUUCAGCUCUCUAGCGCCAUCUGUGGGUUGGCUUGCACAGUACAGUUUAACCAACAAGACAACAACACCGUCAUCAGGCUCAUCAAACAGAUUCUGGCAUGUGUGUGUCAACUUCCUCCUCUGGGCACAAGUGAUGUCCUCGUUCUGUCCUGUUUCUAUUUUCCCUUACUGAGUGUGUCCCUUGUGGGAAAGCCAUCUGACAAUUCCAUCAUGAAUGUUCCUACUGGGAAAAAUCUCAGAUUCCUACCAAAAAAGGUA